RNAcentral lists this unclassified non-coding RNA (2355 nucleotides) under Hevea brasiliensis (rubber tree). The record is from RNAcentral. Lineage: Eukaryota; Viridiplantae; Streptophyta; Magnoliopsida; Malpighiales; Euphorbiaceae.
CAAUGAUAAAACUAAAUGCCAAAAAUAACUCGUUUUUGUUAAACAGUUUUUCAAUUUUUUACAAUCAUCAUCAUCAUCACCAUCUUUUGUGAAUUAAAACAUGAAUGGACAUACAAAUUAUUUUGGGUGGGGGUAAGGGUGAGAUUGCCCUAAUGACUACACUACAAGUGAGUACCUAAUCAUUGGACUACUAGCCCAGCGGCAAUUUAUCCUUUUCAUCAGGCUGCAUCUUAGGCAUCACAAGACCUCUGUCAGGAGGAGAACCAUGUGAUAAAGAUUGAUAUUGUAAUGAAAGUAACUCCUCUCUGUUAUACUUCAGUCUUUGAUCUAUAAAAUACUCAGACAUGGGCAUCUUUCCCCGCUUUCGGUACAUCUGUGAAGGUUUCAAAAAAAUUCGCGAUGGGGAAGAACGGUCGCAGCUACCUUGGUCUGAUGGAGACACACCAAGGAGUUCAUGCCUCACUUCAACAAGGGGAUGUUUCUUACAGAAUAUCGAGAUGGCUUCCUUAGUCAAGAGCCAACAACCUCUCAGGUCUAACAUUUUCAGAGAUACUGGGGGUCUGAAUAAAUCUAGCGCAGAAUUGGUCAACACAGCAUCACAAAUGGCAAGAUUUGUCAACUUCGACAGAGGCGACAUAUUGUAAAGUGCUGCAUCUGUAAGGGAAGCACUUUUAAGAGAUAAGUGGCUCAACUCUUGAAAACUUGAUACAGGGUCUAGGGCCACAUCCAUGACUUGGGUAUGCUCCAGAUUCAAACUCUGCAAGCAAUUGAGUCUCUGCAAAGCCGUCAGAGAAGGAAUCAAAUUUGUCUCUUCCCCUACCUGUUGAAUGAAACCUGUAAUGUUUGUAUUGCUCAAGUCAACAACCUUGAGUGAAGGUAUUGUGCCAAUAUAUGUGAUGGCCAAAUCAUCAACUGGAGCAUGAGAUAGUGAUAAAGAUUCAAGCUUGGGGACAUGUUGAGCUAAUAUUGAUACUCCAGCAGUGGUAACUCUUGUUUUGCUGAGAUUUAAAUUUCUUAAAUUGGCUCCAAUACAUGCAAUGAAUUCAACUGAAUCAUCUCCCAUCAUGCUAGAGCUAAGAUCCAAGUGUUCCAGCAUUUUCAUGCAAGGUAAGAAGUAGAAUCCCUGAAGGGAUGAAUUGGAUACAUCCAAGAAAGAUAGAAAACUAGGUUCUAUAUGUAAAAACACAUCAGCUUCAUUUGCAAAUGUUGCUCCUGAGUAUAUAAGUUUAGUUAAAGGAGCUUUAUUACCAUCACCUUCAAAUACAGACUCAAUCACACAGUUGCUCAAGUUUAAGCAUUCAAGAGAUGACAAAUUUGGCAACCUGGUAACACUAGUCCAGGCUAGAUUAAGAAAGCUCAGCUUGGGAAACAGUUGGAGAACAGUGGUCCCUUUGUUAGAAAUGUUACUUCCCCAGAGGUCAAGGUACUCUAGCUUUUUCAGCACCUGGAGAGAACUCAGUGCCGUAUCAGUGACAGGCAAGCCACCCAAGUCCACGACAGAUAAGUUUCUAAGCAAGGAUAGAAGUGUAACCCCAUCUGCCGUUAGACCUGUUUCUGAAAUACGGAGUAUUUCCAAUGUCGAAAUUGAUAGAAGAUGCUUAAUGCCAGCAUCAGUAACCUUAGCACAUCUGGAUAGGUCCAAUUCCCUCAAACUAGUCAUCCCAGUUAAAGCCCAAAGCGCCGAGCCAUUAAUUUUACGGCAAUCGGCAAGAUUCAAGGAGCGCAAGUAACGAAACGCUCCCAAAUAUGCUAACCACUCUGCAUCCACAGCGUUUUCACCUCUCAGAUCAACCACCUCUACGCUUUGUUUGAAAACUCUACAAUACCAAAUCUAAUAUCAUUCAAUUCUUCUUCUUCCGUUAUUUCUCUUAAAAAACCGGUGAUCUAAUCUUAAAUUCAAAAUUGAAAAGAUAGAAACUUCCGUAUUGGAAGAUGAAAAUAGAAAAUAAAUAAAUAAAAGAGGAAUGAAUUUGGACAACUUACUCGAGCAAAGAAGGGAAAAGAAGGCGGCGAUGGAGGAGGCGGCGAAGCAUAGCGUCAGCAAGAGGCGAAGGGAUGCGCUCGAGAGUCCGUCGUUGCCUCCUCCAUUUCUCCACAGAUUCUCUGGUUUCACACGCUGCUUCGAUGCAAAUUCGCACCAAUCGGGUCUCCGUUUCCAUUUCUAAGACUUGAUUUUAUCGGUCAGUUUGAUUCGCCUCCUCCUCUAAUUAUUACAACAUCUUCUUUAAUGGAGUUAUGUUGCUUACGCUUACGAGAUGCACUUUCUCUGUAUUGACAGAAGAGGCCGAGAAUUACAGUCUGUGAAAUGCAAUUGCAAUCUAAACCUGGGCCAAGUGGAUAAAUGGUCAAUCUAAA